RNAcentral lists this long non-coding RNA (637 nucleotides) under Setaria viridis. RNAcentral's name for it is "long non-coding RNA (SVIR_LNC000147)". Lineage: Eukaryota; Viridiplantae; Streptophyta; Magnoliopsida; Poales; Poaceae. The record is from RNAcentral.
AAAGAUGAGUCUUUUGCUCUGAGAGAGUAUCUGCAAAUAAUAUUUCGAUGUUUUCUUUUUUUGAAAAAGAAGAUUGAUGUUUUCAUUCAGCCAACCCUUUAUCAUCAGCUUGAUGUUUAAUUUUCAUGCAGUCUAUCUUUCUCUUCUGAGUUAUAUGUCUACUAAGUACUAAACUCUCGAAGAACACACUGUUCACAAUUGUCCUUAUACCAGCUUUCGCUAGGAUAUGGUCUUUGUCUUUCACAUUGGGGAACUUCUCCUUUGAACAGUUGUAGCAUUCAUGAAUCUUUGUAGCAUCCUUUCUCAAAUGAGUAUCCCAUUUGCCACAUUAAAGUCUUUUUUGUCACCUGGAAUAAAACAAAAAUUCAGCUAAAGUGGUCACUUUUCGUUGCUAGUUGAACACAAAAAGGAGUAUGUGAAGAACAAGCAAGAAAGGGUAACAAGCAUGCUACAAUGAGAACAAACAGGGUCAACUAAUGCACACCUUAUUAGGAGUUCGAGUUUCUUCAUCUUCUGAAUGAUCACAUUCAUAGUCUGAAUCAACAGCCAAAAAGAGGAGGAAGACUUGAAAUAGGGAUCAUCGUAGUUUGUUCAUCUCCAAUAUCUCAUGGGAUUUUAGACAUCUAUUGGCUCGUGC